ACAGGGAUUGCCCUAGUAACGGCGAGUGAAGCGGCAACAGCUCAAAUUUGAAAUCUGGCCCCCGGGUCCGAGUUGUAAUUUGUAGAGGAUGCUUUUGGCGCGGUGCCUUCCGAGUUCCCUGGAACGGGACGCCAUAGAGGGUGAGAGCCCCGUCUGGUCGGACACCAAGCCUCUGUAAAGCUCCUUCGACGAGUCGAGUAGUUUGGGAAUGCUGCUCUAAAUGGGAGGUAUAUGUCUUCUAAAGCUAAAUACCGGCCAGAGACCGAUAGCGCACAAGUAGAGUGAUCGAAAGAUGAAAAGCACUUUGAAAAGAGAGUUAAAAAGUACGUGAAAUUGUUGAAAGGGAAGCGCUCAUGACCAGACGUGGGCCUGUUGGAUCAGCUUGGGUUCUCCCGGGUGCACUCCCUCAGGCUCAGGCCAGCAUCAGUUCGUCGUGGGGGACAAAGGCUUCGGGAAUGUGGCUCCCUCCGGGGAGUGUUAUAGCCCGUCGCGUAAUACCCUGUGUCGGACUGAGGUUCGCGCAUCUUGCAAGGAUGCUGGCGUAAUGGUCAUCAGCGACCCGUCUUGAAACACGGACCAAGGAGUCGUCUUCGUAUGCGAGUGUUCGGGUGUUAAACCCCUACGCGUAAUGAAAGUGAACGCAGGUGAGAGCUUCGGCGCAUCAUCGACCGAUCCUGAUGUUCUCGGAUGGAUUUGAGUAAGAGCAUACGGGGCCGGACCCGAAAGAAGGUGAACUAUGCCUGUAUAGGGUGAAGCCAGAGGAAACUCUGGUGGAGGCUCGCAGCGGUUCUGACGUGCAAAUCGAUCGUCAAAUAUGGGCAUGGGGGCGAAAGACUAAUCGAA
RNAcentral lists this ribosomal RNA (843 nucleotides) under Thelonectria pelargonii. RNAcentral's name for it is "partial 28S ribosomal RNA". It matches the Rfam family "Eukaryotic large subunit ribosomal RNA", at positions 68 to 939 of the family's 3401-position model. The record is from RNAcentral. Lineage: Eukaryota; Fungi; Ascomycota; Sordariomycetes; Hypocreales; Nectriaceae.